ACGUCAUAAGGCUGCGCCGCUCCUGCGCUGCAUUCAGCUGGAGAAAGGAUAAAGUGUCUAAACAGAAAAACUCCUGCUGAAGCGACUGAUCUCCACACUGGUAUAAAGAUGGCGUUUAUUAAAGAGGAGAGUGAAGAUGUGAAGAUUGAAGAAACAUUCAGUCAAACAAGAAGAUCUGCAGGAACAAACAGGU
This is a non-coding RNA of Danio rerio (zebrafish), 193 nucleotides long. NCBI's taxonomy places the organism in Eukaryota, Metazoa, Chordata, Actinopteri, Cypriniformes, Danionidae. The record is from Ensembl.